Molecule: ribosomal RNA, 253 nt
Filed under: uncultured bacterium
Lineage: Bacteria
Description: partial 16S ribosomal RNA
Rfam family: Bacterial small subunit ribosomal RNA
Source: RNAcentral
UACGGGGGGGGCAAGCGUUGUUCGGAAUUACUGGGCGUAAAGGGUUCGUAGGUGGCUUGCUAAGUCAGACGUGAAAUCCCUCAGCUUAACUGGGGAACUGCGUCUGAUACUGGCGAGCUUGAGUGCGGGAGAGGAACGCGGAAUUCCAGGUGUAGCGGUGAAAUGCGUAGAUAUCGGGAGGAACACCAAUGGCGAAGGCAGCUUGCUGGGACGGUACUGACGCUGAGGCGCGAAAGCGUGGGGAGCAAACAGG